Molecule: non-coding RNA, 206 nt
Organism: Oryza glaberrima (African rice)
Lineage: Eukaryota; Viridiplantae; Streptophyta; Magnoliopsida; Poales; Poaceae
Source: Rfam
AAUAAGUGCAACCAUGAGUUUUCGCGUCCAAUUUUGAUCGUCCGUCUUAUUUGAAUUUUUUUUAUAAUAAGCAUUUUUGUUGUUAUAAGAUGAUAAAACAAGAAUAAUACUUUACUCGUGACUUAUGUUUUUAAUUUUUUUUUCAAAUUUUUUCAAAUAAGACGAAUGGUCAAAGUUGGGCGCGGAAAACUAUGGCUGCAUUUAUU